UUUGUAUCAAAUAAACAUAGAUACCAGCAAUUGCUAUCAGCCUUGAAAUUGGAACUUUCCUAUGUAAAUGCAAUGUUGCUUUGGCUAUUAUUGUGGGGGGCGAUAUUAUUAGUCCCACAUCGAUUGUGAGUCAAGGAGUUUAACUUAUAUAAAAUGUGUGAUACCCCAAACCCAGUUAAAUAGCCGCAUGAAUCUUAAAGUAAUAAAAAAUAAAAAAGAAGAGAGAGAAGACUCCCAAUGGAGUCUUUCCUUCCUUCUAUUGAUUUUUCUCCUGAUAGACUCUCGAUCAGAGUCGAAGUUAGAGGCC
This 307-nucleotide long non-coding RNA is filed under the name Elaeis guineensis (African oil palm). Its description in RNAcentral is "long non-coding RNA (EGUI_LNC040929)". The record is from RNAcentral. Lineage: Eukaryota; Viridiplantae; Streptophyta; Magnoliopsida; Arecales; Arecaceae.